RNAcentral lists this small RNA (1226 nucleotides) under Rattus norvegicus (Norway rat). RNAcentral's name for it is "uncharacterized LOC102556012". Lineage: Eukaryota; Metazoa; Chordata; Mammalia; Rodentia; Muridae. The record is from RNAcentral.
GGCUAUUAUGUGGGAUGUGAGCUGGAGGUGAGGAGAACGGGGAAUGGCAGGUGGGGGCACGUAGAAACUCCAUAGGUUCCCAGGAGACAAAGCCAGUGAUGGAUUCUGGACUGGGCAGUGUUGAUAAAAUUUGCAGAUGGACUGACUGGCUGGCUGCUGGGAUAACAAAUACAAGGAAGGAUGAUUAAAUUUCUUGGUUUGAGCAGUUGGGGAUUCUGUGUUUCCAAAUAGGGGAGAGUGGAUGAGGAACAGGCUGAGGAGGAAACAUCUUGGGCUCUCCUUUGAACUGGGACAUUUAGAACUGUGACAGGAGAAGGGAAUACAGAUUAGUUGGAUUUUGCACCAGUGCCACAUUCUUGGGAACUCUCUGAGCUAGAAAUCGAGACUUGGAAGCAAUUGGUCACGGGACUGCGUGUGGCUAGCUAAGGGGAGAAUGCAGGCAGAAGACAAAAGAACCCAGAUACAGGGCUCUCUACACAUUACAAGAGGCAGAUGUCAAGGAGAAAAAGGUGCUACAUCCCUUCCUGCUCCCACAUCGCAAAUCAACUUCACAACACCAGUGACCAAUAAAGUAGGAGAGGCGCUGAGAGCAGAGCGUCACGGAAGAUAAAAAUGCUGUGAUCCAGGGAGCAGAUGGGUGACAUUGAGUAAGAUGAGAUGGCCACAGAAAAGGGACCAUCAGAUGUGAGACCAUGCAGUCAACUGUGCAGGAUUGCAGGAGUGGAGCCCUCUGAUACAGGGAGCUGCACUGUGGCCAAACAUCGCUAUUCCUUCAGGUUUGGAAACAAAUCGAGACUGUUUUCUUCCUGAGAAGCAAACACUUCAGAUAACUAGUGGCGGUUCUUAGAAAGAAUGUGAAUGGAUCUCCUCGCCUCCAAAGCUAUCUGGAAGCCUGGAGAGUAUAUUUAUGAGGAAAGAGCCUAACUAACAGUAAGAGAAGAACCAAAAGUCGUUCAUUCGGCUACCCUUCGAGAGACACUGUAUUUCCAUUACAAUCACCAUGGAAGCAUAGCGAUGUUUUAUACGUACUCAGCCCAGGGAGUGGCACAGUUAGAAGGUGUGGCUCUGUUGGAGUAGGUGUGUCGCUAUGGUCGUGGACUAUAAGACCCUCAUCCUAGCUGUCUGGAAUUCGGCCUUCUGCUAGAAGCCUUCAGAAGAACAUGCAGAACUCUCAGCUCCUCCUGCACCAUGCCUGCCUGGAUGCUGCCAUGCUCCUGCCUUGAUGA